This 253-nucleotide ribosomal RNA is filed under the name uncultured bacterium. Its description in RNAcentral is "partial 16S ribosomal RNA". It matches the Rfam family "Bacterial small subunit ribosomal RNA", at positions 524 to 776 of the family's 1533-position model. The record is from RNAcentral.
UACGAAGGGGGCUAGCGUUGUUCGGAAUCACUGGGCGUAAAGCGCACGCAGGCGGAUCGUUAAGUCAGGGGUGAAAUCCCGGGGCUCAACCUCGGAAUUGCCUUCGAUACUGUUAGUCUUGAGUCCGGGAGAGGUGAGUGGAAUUCCUAGUGUAGAGGUGAAAUUCGUAGAUAUUAGGAAGAACACCAGUGGCGAAGGCGGCUCACUGGCCCGGUACUGACGCUCAUGUGCGAAAGCGUGGGGAGCAAACAGG